Molecule: long non-coding RNA, 1779 nt
Filed under: Numida meleagris (helmeted guineafowl)
Lineage: Eukaryota; Metazoa; Chordata; Aves; Galliformes; Numididae
Description: lncRNA (ENSNMEG00000018234.1)
Source: RNAcentral
UGGGUUACUAAUCUGGCAAACAAUCCAAACACUCAGACUGAAUUUAUCACAUCGUUAUCAUUUUUUUUCUUUUUUUUUCUUUUUCAGGCUACAAACAACGUCAAAAUAACCAUUCCGGGUAAUAAGACAGCUCCAUCAUAUCAACUUGCUGCAUAAUUCUCUUCUGUCAGACUGGCUUCCUAGGCUCGGAUUUUCCUUGCCUGCCUCUCCGCCAGAUUAAAAGACCCUUGCAAGCUACACAAGUGAAGUCUACAGGCAGUGAAAUCCCAUGACCUCUAGGAUUGUGUUUACUGGAGAGAACGGAGGGAAAUAUGCAGAACAGAGUGGUGAUGGGACCAUGGUUUUACGCAGCCACGUAUCUCUACGUGGAAGGAGUUAGGAGGAGGUGGGUCCUUUGUGUUUGCUCUCAGACCUUGGGAAAGAAGCCUGGGAGCUUCACAUCCCUCCAUGUGAGGGGGAGAUGGGAAACACUCAGUGCAGACCACUCUGUCUUAGGGCUUUCCCAUCUCACUGAUUUUAUUUGUGUUUUGGGAUAACUCAAGAAUUGCCAUGGCGUGCUUACAGAACCCCAGUUGUGCUGGGAAGCUCAGGCAGGCUCAGGGCAGGCAGUUUGCUUUGGCAGGUGCGGUGUGAGUGCAUGGAGUGAGGGCUGACCACCGCCUUCGCUCUGCGCUGACGGGUUGGCCAUUUUCCUUGGGUGGUGGCCAGCCCUUCCUGCUAGAUUCAUGUUACAGAACUGCAUUUGCACUCUUCUCCAUCAUCCCAGGCAUCCAGAUGUACGACAGACGCACACACAUGCACUGCACUGCGGAUGCUGUGUUUUGGCUGCAGCUGAGAUAAAUCACAGUUCAAAGGAGCUCACGCAGCAGCAGCUGGGAUAUCCGAGCCAGCAGCAGAAGGCAAUAUGUGCUUCCAACCCACCCCUCGCUCCUCUAAAAACCCACAGACAGGAGUGGAAAGACCACCACCAGUGGGUCUCAGCCCUGGGUGUGCAGAAGCUGAUAGUGCCCCCAUUGAAUGGAAUGACUGAAAUCCUUGUAAGCUUCAAGGUACUUAUGACAUCUGGGGAAUUCAUGCUCAACCCAUUGUUAUUUUUGGAGGGUUUCCAAUACAUCGGCCCAAUGGCCUGCAGAAGAAAAACUAUCUUAAGCGAGAGCUAAUUAUUGCCAUUACCCGUUCUGGCUGAAGGGAAAGGUUUACUGUGAAUUCUACUUGGCCGUGGAUUUUUGGUUAGGAAGUAAUAGCACAACUGCUAAACUCACACGUGAAGACUUGGGUGAAGCGCUACUGCACACAGCCGGCACCAACCCUGGGUUAAGGACUGUCUUCACAGCUGCAGGUCUAUGAGUAGGAUAAGAGGUCAACUCGGCACUGAUUUAAGAGCAUAGCAUUGGUGUUGCUGCUAUGUCUGAGAGUGCAGUAAACACCAAGCAGAGGAAAACAAGAGCUACUUGAACGCUUUCCAAGGAAGUGAUUUAUUUUUUCUCCUGUGGUAAACUCCCCUUUGUCAAAAUGAAAUCAUUCCAGGAGAGAAAUUAGCUUAUAAAGAUUUUGGUCAAGCCUUGCAUUUGUUUGUUUCCAAAUGUCUUUUUAAUGAAGUCGUAGAACCAUAUCAGAUUUUGUAAAAGUCAGAAUGAGAACAAGAUGUAUCCAUUUUGCCUUUAAAAACAGGGAUGGAAGCAAAGGAAUAGUUUAUAUCAUUCAUUUCUCUGCCCCUGUGUGGGAUCAAAUAUUUUUUGGAUAUGCAUAAAAAGCCAAUAAAUGUUAGCAUUCCUUCCA